GGUCAAGUGAAGAAGCGCAUACGGUGGAUGCCUUGGCAGUCAGAGGCGAUGAAAGACGUGGUAGCCUGCGAAAAGCUUUGGGGAGUCGGCAAACAGACUGUGAUCCAGAGAUCUCUGAAUGGGGGAACCCACCCGGCACAAGCCGGGUAUCUUGUACUGAAUCCAUAGGUGCAAGAGGCGAACCAGGGGAACUGAAACAUCUAAGUACCCUGAGGAAAAGAAAUCAACCGAGAUUCCCUAAGUAGUGGCGAGCGAACGGGGACUAGCCCUUAAGUUGAUUUGAGUGUAGUGGAAGGCUCUGGAAAGUGCCGCCGUAGUGGGUGAUAGCCCCGUACACGAAACGCUCUUAUCAAUGAAAUCGAGUAGGACGGGGCACGAGAAACCUUGUCUGAACAUGGGGGGACCAUCCUCCAAGGCUAAAUACUACUGACUGACCGAUAGUGAACCAGUACCGUGAGGGAAAGGCGAAAAGAACCCCGGAGAGGGGAGUGAAAUAGAUCCUGAAACCGUAUGCGUACAAGCAGUGGGAGCCUACUUUGUUGGGUGACUGCGUACCUUUUGUAUAAUGGGUCAGCGACUUAUAUUCAGUGGCGAGCUUAACCGAAUAGGGGAGGCGUAGCGAAAGCGAGUCUUAAUAGGGCGCUUUAGUCGCUGGGUAUAGACCCGAAACCGGGCGAUCUAUCCAUGGGCAGGUUGAAGGUUAGGUAACACUGACUGGAGGACCGAACCGACUACCGUUGAAAAGUUAGCGGAUGACCUGUGGAUCGGAGUGAAAGGCUAAUCAAGCUCGGAGAUAGCUGGUUCUCCUCGAAAGCUAUUUAGGUAGCGCCUCGUGUAUCACUGCUGGGGGUAGAGCACUGUUUCGGCUAGGGGGUCAUCCCGACUUACCAAACCGAUGCAAACUCCGAAUACCAGCAAGUGUCAGCACGGGAGACACACGGCGGGUGCUAACGUCCGUCGUGAAAAGGGAAACAACCCAGACCGUCAGCUAAGGUCCCAAAGUUAUGGUUAAGUGGGAAACGAUGUGGGAAGGCUUAGACAGCUAGGAGGUUGGCUUAGAAGCAGCCAUCCUUUAAAGAAAGCGUAAUAGCUCACUAGUCGAGUCGGCCUGCGCGGAAGAUGUAACGGGGCUCAAACCAUACACCGAAGCUACGGGUUCAUCCUUUGGAUGAGCGGUAGAGGAGCGUUCUGUAAGCCUGUGAAGGUGAGUUGAGAAGCUUGCUGGAGGUAUCAGAAGUGCGAAUGCUGACAUGAGUAACGACAAUGCGAGUGAAAAACUCGCACGCCGAAAGACCAAGGUUUCCUGCGCAACGUUAAUCGACGCAGGGUUAGUCGG
RNAcentral lists this ribosomal RNA (1336 nucleotides) under Ectopseudomonas oleovorans. Its description in RNAcentral is "Pseudomonas oleovorans partial 23S ribosomal RNA". It matches the Rfam family "Bacterial large subunit ribosomal RNA", at positions 1 to 1387 of the family's 2925-position model. The record is from RNAcentral. Lineage: Bacteria; Pseudomonadati; Pseudomonadota; Gammaproteobacteria; Pseudomonadales; Pseudomonadaceae.